RNAcentral lists this ribosomal RNA (253 nucleotides) under uncultured bacterium. RNAcentral describes it as "partial 16S ribosomal RNA". It matches the Rfam family "Bacterial small subunit ribosomal RNA", at positions 524 to 776 of the family's 1533-position model. The record is from RNAcentral.
UACAGAGGUCUCAACCGUUGUUCGGAUUCAUUGGGCGUAAAGGGUGCGUAGGCGGCGGGGUAAGUCAGGUGUGAAAUCUCGGGGCUCAACCCCGAAACUGCACUUGAUACUGCCUCGCUUGAGUACUGGAGAGGAGACUGGAAUUUACGGUGUAGCAGUGAAAUGCGUAGAUAUCGUAAGGAAGACCAGUGGCGAAGGCGGGUCUCUGGACAGUUCCUGACACUGAGGCACGAAGGCCAGGGGAGCAAACGGG